AGAGGUUGUACUGCCAGCUUAGUCGAAGGAUAAUUUUGUCAUUUCAUAAUUUCAGCCAUUACAAAAGCCCCAUUUCAAAGGGCAUUUCAUCAUUUCACAACAACUUCAGCCAACGCAAAACCCCCCAUUCUACAGGAAAUCUUUGUCGUUUCACACCAAGUUCAACCACCAGAAAACUCAAAACAAAAUUGACGAUGAUAACAACGAAGAACAAGCAAAAGGAUAGAUCUUAAACGUAUACCCUUCUUCCUGCAAAAACUUUCGAUCUUAAGGAUCAGAUUAGUAAAAUUGGGACAAAAGAGACAACACAUCCAACAUGACUGCAGACUUCAGCUGCACUACAAAUAGCCCUUCUGCGUCGCCCCGUCAAGAUACAGGCCUGCUCUUCUUUGCCCUAUGAACUCUAGACACAGUCUUAGGAAUUUUGAGCUUGCAAAACAAAGAUGAGGGAGGGGUAUUAUUGUGGGGUUGAGAGAGAGGGGGAAAAGAGAAAAGCAACAACAAAAACAACAAUAAAUAUAAUAGUAAUAGACUAUGUUUGUAAUUAUGAUUAUAUUUACGAAAAAAUAAUUUAACUAAAUUAUGUAAGAAUAUUAUAUUUAAUUUAAUAAAUUAUAUAAAAAAUAAGAUUAAAAUAAAUAAAUAAAAGGUCCCUGGUAAUCCAAUGCAGGUUGUUUGGGGCAAGUUGAAGGUUGUGAAGGUAGCUAAUAAGGACCUGAACAUGUAUUUAGCAUCAUAUCAGCAGAAACUAGAGGUUGGAAGACAUUAGAGGUUGUACAAGCAGGUAUUGCGGUAAACCCCUGCAAUUCUCAACUCUUUGGUCAGGAAAAGGUUGCUCUGGCGGAAGUGGAGAAAUGGAGUACUAUAGAGGAGCAAGUGUUUAGACAAAAAGCUAUGGCCUUAUAGAUUCAAAGUGGUGAAUCAAACACUAGAUAUUUUCAUGCUUAAUGGAAAAUCAGAUCUAGUAUCAAUGCCAUCACUUCGAUACAUGCUGAAGUUGGUACUAAACUGACUGAUCCUGUUGAUAUUGAAGUUGAAUUCAUCUUAUUUCUUUCCAACCUUAUAGGACAUGAGAGGGAGUGCAUCCUUGUCCUAAUGCUGAGAUAGUCCAGGAGGGCUAUUGCUUAUCUAGGGAACAACAGACACUCCUAAUCCAGUAGGUUACAGCUGAGGAAAUACAGGUAGCAACCAAAGUUAUUCCAAGGGAAAAGGCUCUGAGAGUUGAUAGAUUCCCUAUUGAGUUCUUUUCCACAUGCUGGGAUGAGACUCCUGACCUAUACAGGUAGACUCCAAUUAAUCAAGGCUGUAACUUUCGGUAUGCAAUCAUAUUGGGCUCGGGUUUUUUUUAUCCCAAAGAAGAUGCUGAAAUGUAUUGAGGCUAUAUGCAAAUCUUACUUAUGGACUGGCCAAGCUGAGAUAUCCAAAAA
Molecule: long non-coding RNA, 1427 nt
Organism: Capsicum annuum
Lineage: Eukaryota; Viridiplantae; Streptophyta; Magnoliopsida; Solanales; Solanaceae
Exons: 2
Source: RefSeq, a predicted model, not a curated record